Molecule: long non-coding RNA, 966 nt
Filed under: Homo sapiens (human)
Lineage: Eukaryota; Metazoa; Chordata; Mammalia; Primates; Hominidae
Description: HSALNT0131736
Source: RNAcentral
GGCAGGGUCCCUGCCAAGUAGAAGGAAAGGCACAGCCACAUCCAGGCCAAAAAAUAAAAGACAAUGAUUUACCUCCCUCUCUACUGUCCAUAAAACAGGUCCAGCAUUCAACCAAAAUGCUUAAGUAACACAGAAAAAAGCAAGAAUAAAACCACAUUCCCAAGAGACAAAACAACCAUCAGAACAAGACACAGAUAUGACUCAGAUGUUGGAACUAUUUGAAAGGGGAUUUUAAAUAACUAUGACUGACACAUUAAAGGCUGUGAUGGAAAACGUGGACAACAUGCAAGAUCAGAUGGGCUGGGCCAGAUUCAGUAGCUCACAACUGGAAUCAUAUAUAGGCCAGGCACGGUGCUCACACCUGGAAUCAUAUAGAGGCUGGUCCCGGUGCAGUAUAUCACACCUGGAAUCAUAUAGAACACCUGGAAUCGUAUAGAGGCUGGUCCCGGUGCAGUAUAUCACACCUGGAAUCAUAUAGAACACCUGGAAUCAUAUAGAGGCUGGUCCCGGUGCAGUAUAUCACACCUGGAAUCAUAUAGAACACCUGGAAUUGUAUAGAGGCUGGUCCCCAUGCAGUAUAUCACACCUGGAAUCAUAUAGAACACCUGGAAUCAUAUAGAGGCUGGUCCCGGUGCAGUAUAUCACACCUGGAAUCAUAUAGAACACCUGGAAUCGUAUAGAGGCUGGUCCCCGUGCAGUAUAUCACACCUGGAAUCAUAUAGAACACCUGGAAUCGUAUAGAGGCUGGUCCCCGUGCAGUAUAUCACACCUGGAAUCAUAUAGAACACCUGGAAUCGUAUAGAGGCUGGUCCCCGUGCAGUAUAUCACACCUGGAAUCAUAUAGAACACCUGGAAUCGUAUAGAGGCUGGUCCCCGUGCAGUAUAUCACACCUGGAAUCAUAUAGAACACCUGGAAUCAUAUAGAGGAGUCAGUCCGAGAUUAGCGGAACCUUCCUUAGUAGGAGG